This is a long non-coding RNA of Nylanderia fulva, 1095 nucleotides long. RefSeq lists it as uncharacterized. The record is from RefSeq and is a predicted model, not a curated record. NCBI's taxonomy places the organism in Eukaryota, Metazoa, Arthropoda, Insecta, Hymenoptera, Formicidae.
CCAAUCCUGAAGCAGAAGACGGUUGGUGAGAAGGUGCGACACGGUAUGCGCGAAUGAACGGGUGGGGUUGCUGGUGGUUCCUGGAGGAAUUUCGGGAUCGCAUAGAGGGUCCGAGUGCGCGGAUCCUGCGCCGGAUGAUCUAGUCUAUCAUUGCACGUAAGACGGCGAGGAACGUAUUCCUGAAUUCGAGUUACCUCGAAUACAAACAAUCAACAAUUUUGUGUUUUCGUAUAUAUAAUAAUAACGCUUAUAAUUAAAAAUAAAAUUUCAAGCAUUAUAGCAAGUUUUCGUUCGAAACGUUCGCAAAUUGUGAUAAUUCAAAAUUCAGCGUGCUCUCCAUACUGAUAAAAAAAUGCCACGAUCAGCAGCCAACGAGACGCAGAACAUUUUGAUGACAUACUUCAUCCUUAUUCUUCUAUUAAUUUCACUUUGGGUAUUAUACUCGGGGUUAUUCUUUUAAUCACAGCAGACAUUCCUCAUGGGUUGAAGAACACAGGGAAGACACCUUCAAAAGGAGGAUGCAUUUGGAGGAUCCAAGAUGGACACCUCAGCCUUCGAAAAGCUUAUCGAUUCUCACCAUCACUUAUUACAUUUUCUCUUGGUAUCUAGAGACACAUGUUUUAUACAAAUCGCUUUUGAUUAUUUAAUGACCGAUUUUUACGACAAAAAUUAUUCAAUAAUAAAUUCACUAGAAAAUAGGAAAAUUUUAAAGGGCUUACUCUCUCUUCUAUCAUCUUACGUCUAUUUUUUGUUACUCUGUCGUGGAAAUCGGCCAUCUAUUAAAAAUUAAUUAUUUAUAUUACAAUAAUUAUAUCUGCUAAGGAAUGAUUAGCAAUGGACACUUUAUCUGCACUUAAACCAAUUUAUUAUCUCAUUAACAUUUCUCUAGUUAAAAUUUACAUCGUCAUUAAACUAUGCUCAUUUGAAAUCACUGAAAUAAAUAUAUCAAGUCAUAUGCGUUCAUAUCGAGUCCAUCUCGUUUAUUUGAUUUGAUUGCGACAUCUAGUUUCUUGAAAUUUGUUCGUAGUAUAUCUUCAAAAAAAAUCUAUUACUACAAUAUAUGUUACUAUAAAAUAAAUCUCUUCGUUUAGACUA